GACUCAGGUGAAUUACAAGUUGACAAAAGGUUUAAUCUUUCUUUUUUCAGAUUGCAAUUCACUUCUGAAAUGGUCCCCAUACUUCAAUAAAGAAAAAGUCUUACCUGCAUAAUCUGAUCAAGAAUUUUGAGAAGAGCAAAGAAACUAGAUCUAUAGAGAGGCACAUGCAUUCUGUAGCCAACUGGAAUGACCUGAGAAGCUUACAAGAACUCCUGAUGCCUGACCUUCACCCCCCAGAACUGAUGUGACCUGGGAUCAAGAGGUUUUGAAAGUCCUCAGAUGGUUCCAAGGUGCAGCCAAGUUUGAGAACCACGAGGCAGGAAACACAGGAGGCUUGUUCUACUCCCUGUCUUCUGAGGCACCUACCAAGAGGGGUGCCUGUUCCUUCUGUGGGCCAUGAUUCACCAGAGUCCAGCACAUGUUUCUGCAUGGAGCUCCAUGUCACUGUGGUGUCCUCGACUCCCCACAGCACAGGGGAACAGGGAUACACCCUGCACCACCUUUCUCAGUAAAGAGCUCCUGGGGCCGUCUGUCCGCUGGCAUUGGAUUAGGGCUGAGCGCCCUUGCCUCAGGAGGUGAAAGCAGUUUGUUGUAUCUGAUGGGAACUGAGGCAGAAUAUUCACCGUCAGGGCAUGCGGAAGAGUGAGAACAUGGCAGUGCCCUUCUGAGAUGGCCCCAGUCCUUCCGUAAAGAAAACCAGCCUCACUUCACAGUCUGACAGACAGUCCUGGGCAGACCAAGGGGACAGGACUGAGGUAGCAGCGCUCAGCCAUGGCUCCCCAUCAUAAGGAUCUGAGAAGAUUUUAAAGAUGUGGAUCCCUGAAUGUCCCCCCUAGGGCCUUAGUCAUCCACCUUGUGUAACCAUGAAGUGCCUGACCGAAGUCACUGCAAGUUGGACAGCACCUGGGGAGUCACAGUGACUGUCAAACAUUUCAGGGCGACAUUUCAUAGCACUCUGCCAGUUCC
RNAcentral lists this long non-coding RNA (966 nucleotides) under Mustela putorius furo (domestic ferret). RNAcentral describes it as "lncRNA (ENSMPUG00000026472.1)". The record is from RNAcentral. Lineage: Eukaryota; Metazoa; Chordata; Mammalia; Carnivora; Mustelidae.